AUGGAAUCAUCUGUGUCUCUGUUUGGCAUCGUCUCAUCUGUCUCUUUGUUUAGCAUGGUCUCAUCUGUCUCUCUGUUUAGCAUGGUCUCAUCUGUCUCUCUGUUUAGCAUGGUCUCAUCUGUCUCUCUGUUUAGCAUGGUCUCAUCUGUCUCUCUGUUUAGCAUGGUCUCAUCUGUCUCUCUGUUUAGCAUGGUCUCAUCUGUCUCUCUGUUUAGCAUGGUCUCAUCUGUCUCUCUGUUUAGCAUGGUCUCAUCUGUCUGUCUGUUUAGCAUGGUCUCAUCUGUCUGUCUGUUUAGCAUGGUCUCAUCUGUCUGUCUGUUUAGCAUGGUCUCAUAUGUGUCUCUGCUUAGCAUGGUCUCAUCUGUCUUUCUGUUUAGCAUGGUCUCAUCUGUCUCUCUGUUUAGCAUGGUCUCUCUGUUUAGCAUGGUCUCAUCUGUCUGUCUGUUUAGCAUGGUCUCAUCUGUCUCUCUGUUUAGCAUGGUCUCAUCUUUCUGUCUGUUUGGCAUGUGCUCAUCUAUCUCUCUGUUUAGCAUGGUCUCUCUGUUUAGUAUGGUCUUUCUGUUUAGCAUGGUCUCUCUGUUUAGCAUGGUCUUUCUGUUUAGCAUGGUCUCUCUGUUUAGCAUGGUCUUUCUGUUUAGCAUGGUCUCUCUGUUUAGCAUGGUCUCUCUGCUUAGCAUGGUCUCUCUGUUUAGCAUGGUCUCUCUGUUUAGUAUGGUCUUUCUGUUUAGCAUGGUCUCUCUGUUUAGCAUGGUCUUUCUGUUUAGCAUGGUCUCUCUGUUUAGCAUGGUCUUUCUGUUUAGCAUGGUCUCUAUGUUUAGCAUGGUCUCUCUGCUUAGCAUGGUCUCUCUGUUUAGCAUGGUCUCCCUGUUUAGCAUGGUCGCUCUGUUUAGCAUGGUCUCUCUGUCUAGCAUCGUCUCAUCUGUCUCUUUGUUUAGCAUGGUCUCAUCUGUCUCUCUGUUUAGCAUGGUCUCAUCUUUCUGUCUGUUUGGCAUGUGCUCAUCUAUCUCUCUGUUUGGCAUGGUCUCAUCUGUCUCUCUGUUUGGCAUGGUCUCAUCUGUCUCUCUGUUUGGCAUGGUCUCAUCUAUCUCUCUGUUUGGCAUGGUCUCAUCUGUCUCUCUGUUUAGCAGGGUCUCAUCUGUCUCUCUGUUUAGCAGGGUCUCAUCUGUCUCUCUGUUUAGCAGGGUCUCAUCUGUCUCUCUGUUUAGCAGGGUCUCAUAUGUGUCUCUCUGUUUAGCAGGGUCUCAUCUCUGUCUCUGUUUAGCAGGGUCUCGUCUCUGUUUAGCAGGGUCUCAUCUCUGUCUCUCUGUUUAG
This 1311-nucleotide long non-coding RNA is filed under the name Oncorhynchus mykiss (rainbow trout). RNAcentral's name for it is "lncRNA (ENSOMYG00000074316.1)". The record is from RNAcentral. Lineage: Eukaryota; Metazoa; Chordata; Actinopteri; Salmoniformes; Salmonidae.